RNAcentral lists this long non-coding RNA (186 nucleotides) under Capra hircus (goat). Its description in RNAcentral is "lncRNA (ENSCHIG00000002077.1)". The record is from RNAcentral. Lineage: Eukaryota; Metazoa; Chordata; Mammalia; Artiodactyla; Bovidae.
UCUUGAUUUAUUUUUUGCCUUUUAUUUUUCUAGCCUGCUAAGGAAGUGAGAGAAGGCAUGACUCAAUAGAAGAAGACAAGAACUCCUUCACAUGCAGCAUUUCCCUCAUGGAAAUGACAAUUUAGUAGAGAACGGGAAUUUAUAACAGAACAAUGAUUCUAAAGAGAUGAAAGCAGAAACCUGUGG